GGUAACGCUGGCGGCAUGCCUACACGAUGCAAGUUGAACGAGCUUAAUCCAUUAAGCUAAGUAGCGGACGGGUAGAGUACGCGCGUAUAACCUACCUGUUAGGAGAGGAAUAACUAUUGGAAACGAUAGCUAAUACCUCAUAAACUGUGGAGUAAAAGGUGCAAAGCCGCCUAAAGAAUGUGGCUUGCUGUCUGAUUAGCUUGUUGGAUAAUUUAACACAGGUUACCAAGGGCAACGAUCAGUAGUUGGUCUAAGAGGAUGAUCAACCACACUGGUGACUAGAGACACGGCCAGAACUCUACGGAGUGGCCAGUCAGGUGAAGUGAAUCUUCCGCGAAUCGGAGACGAAUAGCCCUGACGCGAGUCAAAUGCCUGCAGUGGAGGAUGACGUGCUUGUGAGUCGUACAACCUCCUUUUCUGUG
RNAcentral lists this ribosomal RNA (422 nucleotides) under uncultured bacterium. Its description in RNAcentral is "bacterial SSU rRNA". It matches the Rfam family "Bacterial small subunit ribosomal RNA", at positions 32 to 442 of the family's 1533-position model. The record is from RNAcentral.